This 406-nucleotide ribosomal RNA is filed under the name uncultured bacterium. Its description in RNAcentral is "partial 16S ribosomal RNA". It matches the Rfam family "Bacterial small subunit ribosomal RNA", at positions 30 to 526 of the family's 1533-position model. The record is from RNAcentral.
AUUGAACGCUGGCGGCAGGCCUAACACAUGCAAGUCGAACGAGUGGCGGACGGGUGAGUAAUGUCUGGGAAAAUGCCUGAUGGAGGGGGAUAACUACUGGAAACGGUAGCUAAUACCGCAUAACAUUGGAUGUGCCCAGAUGGGAUUAGCUAGUAGGUGGGGUAACGGCUCACCUAGGCGACGAUCCCUAGCUGGUCCGAGAGGAUGACCAGCCACACUGGGACGGAGACACGGUCCAGACUCCUACGGGAGGCAGCAGUGGGGAAUCUUGGACAAUGGGCGAAAGCCGGAUGCAGCAAUGCCGCGUGUAUGAAGAAGGCCUUCGGGUUGUAAAGUACUUUCAGCAGAGAAGCGUUACCCGCAGAAGAAGCACCGGCUAACUCCGUGCCAGCAGCCGCGGUAAUUC